This is a small nuclear RNA of Suncus etruscus (white-toothed pygmy shrew), 107 nucleotides long. The record is from RefSeq and is a predicted model, not a curated record. NCBI's taxonomy places the organism in Eukaryota, Metazoa, Chordata, Mammalia, Eulipotyphla, Soricidae.
UAGAAAUCCAAAAACACAAUUAUACUAAAGUUGGAAAGAUAUGGAGAAGAUUAGGAUGGCCCCUGCACAAGGAUGACACACAAAUUCAUGAAGUGUUCCAUAUUUAA